GGAGACUCCUUAAAUACAGAUGCCAUUGAUAAGAUGAUUCAAAAGAAACUACCUGGAACUGACAUCCUGCCUCUAGAGACCGGGAAGGACACAAUGGAGGAUAUGGAGAACAACGUCUUGAAUGUCACUUCCCAAAUGUGUGAGCUUCUUGCUAAGGAUCCUAAAUUUCAGCAAUACUACAUGGCUUUUACAAUUUCCAGAAAAGUCUACAUCUUGAAGAGAUGCUCAAUGCCUCCCUUCAAAUUUAUCUCAUUUUUUGGCAGAUAGGCAUUAAGAUUGAUGAAGCAACUUUCUUCGAUCUCAAAUCCAGUGGUUGGUCCCAACCCACAGCAAGUACAAGGCAUCAUGAACACAGCAGUGCUCUGCAUCUCAUUUUGUCUCUUGAGACACAACCUAACUGCAAAAAGCCAAUCCCUCCCCCCAUUCCCUAUCCUUGGUCCUCCUCCUUCCUAACUUGGUAAAAGGUUCCUAGUCUUAAAAAAAGGCAUGCUUGCUUAGUGUGAGCUUUUCUCAGGUUCUCUGAAAUAAACCCGCCUGUGUUUGA
Non-coding RNA from Peromyscus maniculatus bairdii (prairie deer mouse), 544 nucleotides. NCBI's taxonomy places the organism in Eukaryota, Metazoa, Chordata, Mammalia, Rodentia, Cricetidae. The record is from RefSeq and is a predicted model, not a curated record.